Molecule: ribosomal RNA, 326 nt
Filed under: uncultured eukaryote
Lineage: Eukaryota
Description: partial 18S ribosomal RNA
Rfam family: Eukaryotic small subunit ribosomal RNA
Source: RNAcentral
CCCUUAGAUGUUCUGGGCUGCACGCGCGCUACACUGAAGCGUUCAACGAGUAUUCACCUUGCCCGGGAGGGUUGGGUAAUCUUUUGAAAACGCUUCGUGAUGGGGAUAGAUUAUUGCAAUUAUUAAUCUUCAACGAGGAAUUCCUAGUAAGCGCGAGUCAUCAGCUCGUGCUGAUUACGUCCCUGCCCUUUGUACACACCGCCCGUCGCUCCUACCGAUUGAAUGAUCCGGUGAAGCCUCGGGAUUGUAUCCAGUUCACUUUAUUGUGAUUUGGGUGUGAGAACUUGUCUAAACCUUAUCAUUUAGAGGAAGGAGAAGUCGUAACA